RNAcentral lists this ribosomal RNA (608 nucleotides) under Salmonella enterica. RNAcentral's name for it is "partial 23S ribosomal RNA". It matches the Rfam family "Bacterial large subunit ribosomal RNA", at positions 2210 to 2817 of the family's 2925-position model. RNAcentral also lists the same sequence under 6 other names. The record is from RNAcentral. Lineage: Bacteria; Pseudomonadati; Pseudomonadota; Gammaproteobacteria; Enterobacterales; Enterobacteriaceae.
AUGUUUGAUGUUCUAACGUGGACCCGUAAUCCGGGUUGCGGACAGUGUCUGGUGGGUAGUUUGACUGGGGCGGUCUCCUCCCAAAGAGUAACGGAGGAGCACGAAGGUUGGCUAAUCCUGGUCGGACAUCAGGAGGUUAGUGCAAUGGCAUAAGCCAGCUUGACUGCGAGCGUGACGGCGCGAGCAGGUGCGAAAGCAGGUCAUAGUGAUCCGGUGGUUCUGAAUGGAAGGGCCAUCGCUCAACGGAUAAAAGGUACUCCGGGGAUAACAGGCUGAUACCGCCCAAGAGUUCAUAUCGACGGCGGUGUUUGGCACCUCGAUGUCGGCUCAUCACAUCCUGGGGCUGAAGUAGGUCCCAAGGGUAUGGCUGUUCGCCAUUUAAAGUGGUACGCGAGCUGGGUUUAGAACGUCGUGAGACAGUUCGGUCCCUAUCUGCCGUGGGCGCUGGAGAACUGAGGGGGGCUGCUCCUAGUACGAGAGGACCGGAGUGGACGCAUCACUGGUGUUCGGGUUGUCAUGCCAAUGGCACUGCCCGGUAGCUAAAUGCGGAAGAGAUAAGUGCUGAAAGCAUCUAAGCACGAAACUUGCCCCGAGAUGAGUUCUCCCUG